AUUGAACGCUGGCGGCAGGCCUAACACAUGCAAGUCGAGCGGAUGAAGGGAGCUUGCUCCUGGAUUCAGCGGCGGACGGGUGAGUAAUGCCUAGGAAUCUGCCUGGUAGUGGGGGAUAACGUCCGGAAACGGGCGCUAAUACCGCAUACGUCCUGAGGGAGAAAGUGGGGGAUCUUCGGACCUCACGCUAUCAGAUGAGCCUAGGUCGGAUUAGCUAGUUGGUGGGGGAAGGGCCUACCAAGGCGACGAUCCGUAACUGGUCUGAGAGGAUGAUCAGUCAAACUGGAAAUGAGACAAGGGUCAGACUCCGACGGGAGGCAGCAGUGGGGAAUUUUCCGCAAUGGGCGAAAGACGGAAGGAGCAAUGCCGCGGGAGUGAGGAAGGUAGUCGGAUCGUAAAACUCUGUGAGUAGGGAAGAACAGAAGGGAAAGUAACUGUGCACAUCGUGACGGUACCUAAUCAGAAAGCCACGGCUAACGACGUG
RNAcentral lists this ribosomal RNA (484 nucleotides) under uncultured bacterium. RNAcentral describes it as "partial 16S ribosomal RNA". It matches the Rfam family "Bacterial small subunit ribosomal RNA", at positions 29 to 507 of the family's 1533-position model. The record is from RNAcentral.